GGUCGGUUAGCUCAGUUGGUUAGAGCGUCGUACUAAUAUUAUAUAACAAUAACAAUAACAAUUGUGUAAUUAUAUAACAUUGGUAAAUGCGAAGGUCAUGAGUUCGACCCUCAUACUGACCA
Non-coding RNA from Xylariaceae sp. AK1471, 122 nucleotides. Lineage: Eukaryota; Fungi; Ascomycota; Sordariomycetes; Xylariales; Xylariaceae. The record is from the annotation of a GenBank genome assembly.